AUUGAACGCUGGCGGCAGGCCUAACACAUGCAAGUCGAGCGGAUGAAGAGAGCUUGCUCUCUGAUUUAGCGGCGGACGGGUGAGUAAUGCCUAGGAAUCUGCCUGGUAGUGGGGGAUAACGUUCCGAAAGGAACGCUAAUACCGCGUACGUCCUACGGGAGAAAGCAGGGGACCUUCGGGCCUUGCGCUAUCAGAUGAGCCUAGGUCGGAUUAGCUAGUUGGUGGGGUAAUGGCUCACCAAGGCGACGAUCCGUAACUGGUCUGAGAGGAUGAUCAGUCACACUGGAACUGAGACACGGUCCAGACUCCUACGGGAGGCAGCAGUGGGGAAUAUUGGACAAUGGGCGAAAGCCUGAUCCAGCCAUGCCGCGUGUGUGAAGAAGGUCUUCGGAUUGUAAAGCACUUUAAGUUGGGAGGAAGGGCAGUAAGUUAAUACCUUGCUGUUUUGACGUUACCGACAGAAUAAGCACCGGCUAACUUCGUGCCAGCCGCCGCGGUAA
This 500-nucleotide ribosomal RNA is filed under the name uncultured bacterium. Its description in RNAcentral is "partial 16S ribosomal RNA". It matches the Rfam family "Bacterial small subunit ribosomal RNA", at positions 30 to 523 of the family's 1533-position model. The record is from RNAcentral.